Molecule: ribosomal RNA, 279 nt
Filed under: uncultured bacterium
Lineage: Bacteria
Description: partial 16S ribosomal RNA
Rfam family: Bacterial small subunit ribosomal RNA
Source: RNAcentral
GUGCAGCCGCCGCGGUAAUACGGAGGGUGCAAGCGUUAUCCGGAAUCAUUGGGUUUAAAGGGUCCGUAGGCGGGCUAUUAAGUCAGAGGUGAAAGUUUGCAGCUCAACUGUAAAAUUGCCUUUGAUACUGGUAGUCUUGAAUUAUUGUGAAGUGGUUAGAAUAUGUAGUGUAGCGGUGAAAUGCAUAGAUAUUACAUAGAAUACCAAUUGCGAAGGCAGAUCACUAACAAUAUAUUGACGCUGAUGGACGAAAGCGUGGGGAGCGAACAGGAUUAGAUA